This 600-nucleotide ribosomal RNA is filed under the name uncultured bacterium. Its description in RNAcentral is "bacterial SSU rRNA". It matches the Rfam family "Bacterial small subunit ribosomal RNA", at positions 84 to 660 of the family's 1533-position model. The record is from RNAcentral.
UUGCCGGACGGACGGCGGGCAGGGAUGAUCUGCUGGGAGAAAUUGCCAGUCGAGGGNGGAUAACAGUUGGAAGACGACUGCUAAUACCUGAUAUCGCCCUACGGGGGAAAGGCAGGGGGGACCUUCGGUGCCUUGCGCGAUUGGAUAUGCCCAGGUGGGAUUAGCUAGUUGGUGAGGUAAUGGCUCACCAAGGCGACGAUCCCUAGGCUGGUCUGAGGAGGAUGAUCAGCCACACUGGAGACUGAGACACGGUCCAGAUUCCUACGGGAGGCAGCAGUGGGGCAAUCAUUGCACGAAUGGGGGCAAACCCUUGAUGCAUCCCAUGCCGUGUGUGUGAAAGGAAGGCCUUCGGGUUGUAAAGCACUUUCAGCGAGGAGGAACAGGUCAGUAGCUAAUAUCUGCUGGCUGUGACGUUACUCGCAGAAGAAGCACCGGCUAACUCCGUGCCAGCAGCCGCGGUANUACGGAGGGUGCAAGCGUUAAUCGGACAUUACUGGGCGUAAAGCGCACGCAGGCGGGUGGAUAGUUAGNAUGUUGAAAAGCCCCGGGCUCAACCUUGGGAACUUUGCCUUUCAGAAACUUGUCCAGGCUUAGAGGUCU